AAAUAAGAAACGAUAUAUUGUAUUUAGUUUCGACCUAAACCUAGGCUCAAGCCCUUAUUUG
Molecule: transfer RNA, 61 nt
Filed under: Hybosorus sp. HYB01
Lineage: Eukaryota; Metazoa; Arthropoda; Insecta; Coleoptera; Hybosoridae
Also listed under: 1 other name
Description: tRNA-Arg
Source: RNAcentral